UGAAUUGGGUAGACUGCGGGUGGGCCGCGGGGCGUGGCUUCAGAGGGCGGGGGACCGGCGCCUGACAGCUUCAGGGAGGCAGGGCCCGGGGACGCGCUGCUCCAGUGAACUGUGACCUUGGAGAUGGAGGGACUCUCCGCGGAUACAGGAACAGAGCCCUUGGCAGAGAAAGAGGUGGACUGCCUGUCACCAGUGAGACCAAAUUGGGAUUUUUUUGUUCCGUUCUGCAUCUCUUUUCAAAAGACUCUCCCUGUCUCUAUCCUCGCCUGUUGCUGCCUCCCUCCCCCGGAUGGACCACAGUCGUCCCCUGGUAUUCAUGGGAAGAUCAAUUCCAGGAUACCAGUAGACACCAAAAUCCUAGGAUGCUCAAUUCUCUUAUAUAAGAUGUCAUAAUAUCUGUAGGUAACCGGGCUGGUGAAGUGGCUCAAGUGGUAGAGUGCCUGCCUAGCAAGCGUAAGGCCCUAAGUUCAAACCCCAGUGCCACCACACACACACACACACACACACACACACACACACACACACACACACACACACAAAUGUAUAUAACCUACCUACACACAUCCUUUAUAGAGCUCAGGCACUAUACCAUCUGAGCCACUGUGCCAGCCCUAUUUUGUGUUGGGUAUUUUGAAGAUAGGGCUUUGAGAACUAUUUGCCAGGGCUCGUUUUGCACUGUGAUUCUCCUGAUCUCUGCCUCCUGAGUAGCUAGACUUACACACCUGGCACACAUCCCUUAUAUUUUAAAUAAUCUCUAGAUGAGUUACUAUACCUAAUACGCUGUAAAUAAGGGUUAUACUGUAUUGUAAAGGCGAGAAAUUUGUGAAUAUUCAAUAUAAUGCUUUUUUUUUUUUUUUUUGAGAUAGGGUCUCUUUAUAUAGCCCAAGCUGGCCUAGAACUCAUGCGUCUCCUGCUUCAGCUUCUGGAGUGCUGGGAUCACAGAUAUGCACUACAAUGUCCAGUUUAGGAAAAAAAAUUAUAAAUAUUCUCAAUUUGUGGUUGGUUGAAUCUGAGCCUUCAGAUUGAAGGACUGGUGUUAUUUUGAAGCAUGUCCCAGACAUCAUUUCUUCCACACAUUUUGUACCUCCGUUUUUUUUGUUUUUGUUUUUGUUUUUUUGGCAGUACUGGGGUUUUUAACUCAGGGCCUCACACUUGCUAGCAGGCACUCUUACCACUUGAGUCACUCCACCAGCCCCUGAGGCCAACUCUGGUAAAAAAUGAGACCCUAUGUCAAAAAUACCUAUCACAAAAAAAGAGUAUAUAUAUGUAUAUACUCUUUUCUCAGGCUGGCCUGGAACUCAAGGUCCUCCUGCCUCAGUGUCUUGACUGCUGGGAUUACAAGCGUGCAUAUCAUGCCCAGCUACUAAUUUUUUUGAAACACUGGUUUCUUAGA
This 1393-nucleotide long non-coding RNA is filed under the name Castor canadensis (American beaver). RNAcentral's name for it is "lncRNA (ENSCCNG00000022560.1)". Lineage: Eukaryota; Metazoa; Chordata; Mammalia; Rodentia; Castoridae. The record is from RNAcentral.